AACGCACGAGACCUGCGGACCUGCGGAAGGAUCAUCAAAGGAUUUUCCUAAAGAAAAAGGGUCCCUACUAAUAAGUAGGGCUCUUUUUCUCCAAACAAACGAUCACAACUAUUGAAAUAACAGAGAGAGAGAAAUUUGGCUUGGGUUGGCUUGGGAAAUUGACUUGAACAAGAACAAGUGUUUGCCUGAUAAUCUGAUCUGAUGAUUUGGAAAAACAAGAAAUAUACAACUUUUAACAAC
This 240-nucleotide unclassified non-coding RNA is filed under the name soil metagenome. RNAcentral describes it as "partial contains 5.8S ribosomal RNA, internal transcribed spacer 2, and large subunit ribosomal RNA". The record is from RNAcentral.